RNAcentral lists this transfer RNA (75 nucleotides) under Pseudomonadota bacterium. RNAcentral's name for it is "Proteobacteria bacterium (hot springs metagenome) tRNA-Cys". It matches the Rfam family "tRNA". From Rfam's summary of the family: Transfer RNA (tRNA) molecules are approximately 80 nucleotides in length. Their secondary structure includes four short double-helical elements and three loops (D, anti-codon, and T loops). The record is from RNAcentral. Lineage: Bacteria; Pseudomonadati; Pseudomonadota.
GGCCGGGUGGCGAAGUGGUAACGCAGCGGUCUGCAAAACCGCCAUUCAGGGGUUCAAAUCCCCUCCCGGCCUCCA